UCAGAAAAUAGUAUAAUAAUAAAUAUAUAAAUUUUGGGGAUUUAUGUUGAUUAAUAAAUCUUUUCUGAU
RNAcentral lists this transfer RNA (69 nucleotides) under Proknekalia peringueyi. RNAcentral describes it as "Argas peringueyi tRNA-Pro". The record is from RNAcentral. Lineage: Eukaryota; Metazoa; Arthropoda; Arachnida; Ixodida; Argasidae.